GCCGCGUGAGUGAUGAAGGCCCUAGGGUUGUAAAGCUCUUUCACCGGAGAAGAUAAUGACGGUAUCCGGAGAAGAAGCCCCGGCUAACUUCGUGCCAGCAGCCGCGGUAA
This 110-nucleotide ribosomal RNA is filed under the name uncultured Rhizobium sp. RNAcentral describes it as "partial 16S ribosomal RNA". It matches the Rfam family "Bacterial small subunit ribosomal RNA", at positions 396 to 523 of the family's 1533-position model. The record is from RNAcentral. Lineage: Bacteria; Pseudomonadati; Pseudomonadota; Alphaproteobacteria; Hyphomicrobiales; Rhizobiaceae.